This is a long non-coding RNA of Lolium perenne, 3336 nucleotides long. RefSeq lists it as uncharacterized. The record is from RefSeq and is a predicted model, not a curated record. NCBI's taxonomy places the organism in Eukaryota, Viridiplantae, Streptophyta, Magnoliopsida, Poales, Poaceae.
CCUUGAGCAUCUUCCUCCGCCACUCCCGCAUCUGUCCCUAGCUUCUUUCUCCGCCUCUUCCCCGCCCGCCCCCGAGCUUAUUCCUCCGCCACUCCCCCGCGCGUGCCCUGAUUUUCUUCGCUGGUCUGCUUCGUCGUGCCCAUCGAUGGCGGCGGAAGUUAAUGUUCUGGACAUUGUCCCACUAUGCAAACCUAGCAUACAAUCUAGGUUUUCAACGCUCAGAUACAUGGAAGUAGUGGACAAGUUCAAUCCAAUUUCAAAGGUUUUUUAUAUCCAAGCAUGGUCUUGAUAAUCUACUGAGGCUUCCUGUCCACUUGAUGGUCCCUCUGCAUCUUCAGCAGUGGCUUGUUGACCAUGCAUCAUAUGGUGAAACAAAAUUCUUCCAACAAAAAGACAAGGUUAUCCAUUUCAACAAGGAUAUUGUCGACAAGUUCGUUGGGUUUCCAGUGGGCCCCAAGCCAUUUAUUACAUAGAGCAACGAUCCUGAUAUCAUGAGAGAGGUGGAAGAUAUUCGCGGUCAGUACCUCCAAGGGAAGAAGCAGAUAACAAAUAAGAAUCUUGAGUCUGUUUUGCUUGGCGCUAACAAUGAGGUGGUUUUCAUUAGGAGUUUCUUGUUGCUUUUCAUCACCACUGUUCUGUGUCCAUCGACCUACAAUUUUGUCAAUGCAAAAUAUUUGUACUCUUUGAGGGACAGCGGCAUUGAGGAAGUUGGAACACUUGACUUUGCAACUCUGUGCCUAAACAACCUGUGGAGUGAGUUGGAUGCAUGGAAAGACAAGGUGUAGGGAAUACCGGGUUAUGAACAUUUCUCAUUUCUUUUGUAUUCGCAAUUCCGUAGAAAUCGGAAUAUAAAGAUUGGAGUACAUGGUCUGGUUAUGUUUGGUGUCCUGCCAUGUAUACUUUUCUGUGCUUAAAAGCAUGGCUUAUAUAUGUUUUCCCAGAUUCUUUUUGGCCUGAAAUCCUAUCUGUUUUACCAUGUACAUAAGUCAUGAAGAAAUUCAAUAGCCACGAGUUCAUGCCAAGGCAAAUUCGGUAUUUGGGUAUUAUAUCACGUGACAAUAGUACAAAUUGCCUGGAUGUGAAUCGAACCAAACUCGCAUCACAGUUCUUUUUUUGUAGCUGCGAUUUUUGUCUUUUUAUGUUCUAACAUCUGUUUUAAGAAACAAAUAUUUCUUAAACUAGAUAUUAUUAUGCAUUAGUAAAUACUUAGAUGAAGAAAAAAUCUAUAUACCAGGGACAAAAAAAGCUAAGGUACCAAAAACUUAAAAAUUAGGAAUUCUACAAUUCGAAUCUUUUAUCGUAUUGGGAUUUUUUUGGGUUCUUGAUUAAACCGAGAAUAGUUGGAUGCCGAAAAAAUCAGAAUUCUUUUUUUCAAUUCAACAAGGUGUCAAUAACUUCUAGAUGUUGGCUAAGUGAUUCAAUCUUCGCCUUAAAAUAGUUAUGGUCAUGCUUUCUUGAAACAUGUUCAUGCAAAGAAUAAUUUUGUGUUUUAUUUUGUAUGUUUCAAGUUUAGAAAAUCCCUUAAUGUUUUUAUUUAUGUUCAAGGUAGAAAAUGGUUCAUAACAAAAAUCCAUUUCAUGCUUUAUUUUUGUUGUUCAAGGUAGGAAACCGUUCAUUCCAAGAAUUCGUUCAUGCUUUACUUUUAAUUUUCAACAAUCCGUUCAUGCAUGAAUUUAUGUUCAAUGUAGGAACUCGUCCAUGCUUUAUUGUAUGUUCAAGGUAGAAAACCGUUCAUGCAAAAAAAUCCGACUAUGCUUGAAUUUAUGUUCGAUGUAGGAAAUCGUUCAUGCUAGAAAUACGGGAACAAGGGUUUUCGAUAUAUGUCUAAUGAAGAAAACCGUUAAUGCCAAGAAUUUGUUCAUCCUUUUUAUUUAUGUUUCUGCGUACAAAUUGGUUCACGCCGAAGAACUACUCGUCUUUUUAUUUAUGUUCACGGAAGGAAACGGUUCACUCUAAGAUUCCGUUUUGUGUUAUCAUUUCUGUUCAAGGUAGGAAACCGUUCAUGCCAAGAAUCCGUUUAUGCUUUAUUUUUUAUUAUUCAAGGUAGGAAACCGUUCAUGAUUACAAUCCGUUCAUGCUUUAUUUUUAUUAUUCAAGGCAGGAAAACGCUCAUGCCAAGAAUCUGUUAAUGCUUUAUUUUUAUUGUUCAAAUGGGGAAAUCGUUAAUGCCAAGAAACUGUUCAUGCUUUAUUAUUUUUGUUCAAGGUAGGAAAUCGUUCAUGAUUACAAUCCAUUCAUGCUUUAUUUUUUAUUGUUCAAAGUAGGAAACCGUUCAUGCCAAGAAUCAGUUCAUGCUUCCCAUUGCUUAGAGGAAAUGGCUAACGGGAUGUGGCCAAUUUCUCAGACAUAGGAUAUACAUUUAAGAUUUCUGCAAUUAUUCUGUGUAUAGGGGACCACAUGUUUUCAAAAAAAUUGUUCACUUUUUCCUAUCAGAUUGUUAGAGAACAUACGAUCACAACAUCAAGCGAUACAUGUGGUUACCCCUAGAGAGAAGUAAAGUUGGCUUUGCACCCUACUCUGAAGUCUAAACCAUAGUAUAUUGCAUAUUGUAUCUUCAUUGAGGAAAGAGUUUAGAGGCACAACACAUCUGAAUUUAAAUAGUAACUUCAUUCACGGUAAAGUCCAUGUAUGAAGAUUAUAUGAACGGUCAUACGAUCUAUCUUCGUAAAUAUAUUUGGAAACUUAAGAUACCACUGAAAGUCAAGAUUUUUAUGUGGUUUCUUCAUAGAAAAGUUAUACUCACUAAAGAUAAUUUAGCUCGCCGAAAUUGGAAUGGUUGCAUGAAAUGUGUGUUCUGUGAUUCAUCGGAAUCAAUCAAUCAUCUGUUCUUUGAUUGUCCCUUCGCUAAACUUAUUUGGAGAGUUAUUCAGUUUACUUUUAAUAUUGUUCCUCCAACAAAUGUUACAAAUAUGUUUGGAAAUUGGUUAAACGGAGUUGACAAAGUGUCCAAGUUCAGAAUUAGAAUUGGGUUUUGCGCGCUCAUGUGGGCUAUAUGGAACUGCCGCAAUGAUAUUGUCUUUAACAAGAGUACGAACUCAAAUUUUUUACAGGUUACCCGUAUGGUCUCACAAUGGAUCCACGAAUGGUCGCUUUUACUGCCGGAGACGCAACGCGAGUCUAUGCAUGCUGGAUGCCGCCGGCUGGAUGCGGUGGCACGGGCUAUAUACAACCAGGAUGGCUGGCGUCCUGUUAAACGACUUUCAGAUGUAUAAGCGAGUCUCUUAUUUUCCAUUGGCUAGUUUUUGUGUACACGCUUUGUGAUUCGUGAAUUGUAAAACUAAGGAUUAUGUUAUCUGGGUAAUAAAAGAGGGCUGCGUGCAUCGAUUGAUGCAGAGG